UACAGAGGUCUCAAGCGUUGUUCGGAUUCAUUGGGCGUAAAGGGUGCGUAGGCGGCGCGGUAAGUCGGGUGUGAAAUCUUGGAGCUUAACUCCGAAACUGCAUUCGAUACUGCCGCGCUUGAGGACUGGAGAGGAGACUGGAAUUUACGGUGUAGCGGUGAAAUGCGUAGAUAUCGUAAGGAAGACCAGUGGCGAAGGCGGGUUGCUGGGCCGACACUGACGCUGAUGCGCGAAAGCGUGGGGAACGAACAGG
Molecule: ribosomal RNA, 253 nt
Filed under: uncultured bacterium
Lineage: Bacteria
Description: partial 16S ribosomal RNA
Rfam family: Bacterial small subunit ribosomal RNA
Source: RNAcentral